RNAcentral lists this ribosomal RNA (251 nucleotides) under uncultured bacterium. RNAcentral describes it as "partial 16S ribosomal RNA". It matches the Rfam family "Bacterial small subunit ribosomal RNA", at positions 524 to 776 of the family's 1533-position model. The record is from RNAcentral.
UACGUAGGGUGCAAGCGUUAAUCGGAAUUACUGGGCGUAAAGCGUGCGCAGGCGGUUUUGUAAGUCAGAUGUGAAAUCCCCGGGCUUAACCUGGGAACUGCGUUUGAAACUACAAGGCUAGAGUGUGGCAGAGGGGGGUGGAAUUCCACGUGUAGCAGUGAAAUGCGUAGAGAUGUGGAGGAACACCGAUGGCGAAGGCAGCCCCCUGGGUUAACACUGACGCUCAGGCACGAAAGCGUGGGAGCAACAGG